AACGAACGCUGGCGGCAUGCCUAACACAUGCAAGUCGAACGAGACCUUCGGGUCUAGUGGCGCACGGGUGCGUAACGCGUGGGAAUCUGCCCUUCGGUUGGGAAUAACUGAGAGAAAUCUCAGCUAAUACCUUAUAAUGUCUUCGGACCAAAGAUUUAUCGCCGAGGGAUGAGCCCGCGUAGGAUUAGGCAGUUGGUGGGGUAAUGGCCUACCAAGCCGACGAUCCUUAGCUGGUCUGAGAGGAUGAUCAGCCACACUGGGACUGAGACACGGCCCAGACUCCUACGGGAGGCAGCAGUGGGGAAUAUUGGACAAUGGGCGAAAGCCUGAUCCAGCAAUGCCGCGUGAGUGAUGAAGGCCUUAGGGUUGUAAGGCUCUUUUACCCGGGAUGAUAAUGACAGUACCGGGAGAAUAAGCUCCGGCUAACUCCGUGCCAGCAGCCGCCGUAA
RNAcentral lists this ribosomal RNA (449 nucleotides) under uncultured bacterium. RNAcentral's name for it is "partial 16S ribosomal RNA". It matches the Rfam family "Bacterial small subunit ribosomal RNA", at positions 29 to 523 of the family's 1533-position model. The record is from RNAcentral.